UUGAACGCUGACGGCAUGCUUUACACAUACAAGUCGAACAGUAACAGACCACAAAAUGCUGACAAAUAACGAACAGAUGAGUAAUACAUCGGAACGUACCCAGUCGUAGAAGAUAACACAGCGAAAGCUGUACUAAUACCACAUACGAUCUAUAGAUGAAAACAAAGGACCGUAAAACCUCGCGCGAUUGGAGCGACCGAUGUCAGAUUAGGUAGUUGAUAAGAUAAAAACCCACCAAACCAACGAUCUGUAACUGGUCUGAGAGGACAACCAACCACACUGAAACUGAGACACAGUCCAGACUCCUACAAAAAACAACAGUAAGGAAUUUUGGACAAUAAACACAAGCCUGAUCCAGCAAUACCACGUACAGGAAAAAAACCUUCAGGUUGUAAACUGCUUUUGUACAAAACGAAACAAUCUAAAUUAAUACCUCAAGCUAAUGACGGUACCGUAAGAAUAAGCACCGGCUAACUACGU
RNAcentral lists this ribosomal RNA (480 nucleotides) under uncultured bacterium. Its description in RNAcentral is "bacterial SSU rRNA". It matches the Rfam family "Bacterial small subunit ribosomal RNA", at positions 29 to 506 of the family's 1533-position model. The record is from RNAcentral.